UACGUAGGGUGCGAGCGUUAAUCGGAAUUACUGGGCGUAAAGCGUGCGCAGGCGGUUAUAUAAGACAGAUGUGAAAUCCCCGGGCUCAACCUGGGCACUGCAUUUGUGACUGUAUAGCGAGAGUACGGUAGAGGGGGAUGGAAUUCCGCGUGGAGCAGUGAAAUGCGUAGAUAUGCGGAGGAAAACCGAUGGCGAAGGCAAUCCCCUGGAACUGUACUGACGCUCAUGCACGAAAGCGUGGGGAGCAAACAGGAUUAGAUACCCGCGUAGUCC
RNAcentral lists this ribosomal RNA (273 nucleotides) under uncultured bacterium. RNAcentral's name for it is "partial 16S ribosomal RNA". It matches the Rfam family "Bacterial small subunit ribosomal RNA", at positions 524 to 796 of the family's 1533-position model. The record is from RNAcentral.